Long non-coding RNA from Salvelinus sp. IW2-2015, 428 nucleotides. RefSeq lists it as uncharacterized. NCBI's taxonomy places the organism in Eukaryota, Metazoa, Chordata, Actinopteri, Salmoniformes, Salmonidae. The record is from RefSeq and is a predicted model, not a curated record.
AUAAGAGGCAUGAUCUGCAGCUGGAUGAAUCCAGAUUUCCAGCAUCUAUUUCAGACUAUUCACCCCCCUAUCUCCUCAUCUUGCAGGUAUACAGUAUGUAACAUGCCAGGCUCUAACGUGCUCAGAGCCCAACAAAAACGACCCCUUCCCUGGAUACAUUGACAUUAGCUCACUGGUGGUCCAAGAUMACUAUAUGUUUAUACAGGUUACUACAGCAGGACAGGACAGCUACUAUGUGUCCUACCAGAGGGAUCCAUUCCUCAAAAUCAAACUGCCCAAAUAUUCUCUGCCUAAGCUCGUUACAAACCCAACCAAUAAGAUCCAUCAUCYCGGCGGUGCAGGAGUGGAACCAGAAUGACACAUACAACCUGUACCUCUCCGACACCCUGGCCAUGGAGAACGUCAAGACCACCCAGAUGUUGGACCUG